This 253-nucleotide ribosomal RNA is filed under the name uncultured bacterium. RNAcentral describes it as "partial 16S ribosomal RNA". It matches the Rfam family "Bacterial small subunit ribosomal RNA", at positions 524 to 776 of the family's 1533-position model. The record is from RNAcentral.
UACGGGGGGGGCAAGCGUUGUUCGGAAUUACUGGGCGUAAAGGGCUCGUAGGCGGCCAACUAAGUCAGACGUGAAAUCCCUCGGCUUAACCGGGGAACUGCGUCUGAUACUGGAUGGCUUGAGGUUGGGAGAGGGAUGCGGAAUUCCAGGUGUAGCGGUGAAAUGCGUAGAUAUCUGGAGGAACACCGGUGGCGAAGGCGGCAUCCUGGACCAAAUCUGACGCUGAGGAGCGAAAGCCAGGGUAGCAAACGGG